RNAcentral lists this ribosomal RNA (301 nucleotides) under uncultured bacterium. RNAcentral's name for it is "partial 16S ribosomal RNA". It matches the Rfam family "Bacterial small subunit ribosomal RNA", at positions 509 to 807 of the family's 1533-position model. The record is from RNAcentral.
CAGCAGCCGCGGUAAAACGGAGGGCACGAGCGUUACCCGGAUUUACUGGGCGUAAAGGGCGUGUAGGCGGCCUGGGGCGUCCCAUGUGAAAGGCCACGGCUCAACCGUGGAGGAGCGUGGGAUACGCUCAGGCUAGAGGGUGGGAGAGGGUGGUGGAAUUCCCGGAGUAGCGGUGAAAUGCGCAGAUACCGGGAGGAACGCCGAUGGCGAAGGCAGCCACCUGGUCCACUUCUGACGCUGAGGCGCGAAAGCGUGGGGAGCAAACCGGAUUAGAUACCCCGGUAGUCCCUGUCUCUUAUAC